CGAGCUAACAUGACAGGUGUUAGCACCUAACUGUUAGCGAGCUAACACGACAGGUGUUAGCACUUAACUGUUAGCGAACUGACACGACAGGUGUUAGCACCUAACUGUUAGCGAGCUAACACGACAGGUGUUAGCACCUAACUGUUAGCGAGCUGACACGACAGGUGUUAGCACCUAACUGUUAGCGAGCUAACACGACAGGUGUUAGCACCUAACUGUUAGCGAGCUAACACAACAGGUGUUAGCACCUAACUGUUAGCAAGCUAACAUGACAGGUGUUAGCAUCUAACUGUUAGCGAGCUAACAUGACAGGUGUUAGCAUCUAACUGUUAGCGAACUAACAUGACAGAAGUCAGCACUUAAUUCUUAGCGAGCUAACAUGACAGGUGUUAGCACCUAACUGUUAGCGAGCUAACACGACAGGUGUUAGCACCUAACUGUUAGCGAACUGACACGACAGGUGUUAGCACCUAACUGUUAGCGAGCUGACACGACAGGUGUUAGCACCUAACUGUUAGCGAGCUAACACGACAGGUGUUAGCACCUAACUGUUAGCGAGCUAACACGACAGGUGUUAGCACCUAACUGUUAGCGAGCUAACACGACAGGUGUUAGCACCUAACUGUUAGCGGGCUAACAUGACAGGUGUUAGCACCUAACUGUUAGCAAGCUAACAUGACAGGUGUUAGCAUCUAACUGUUAGCGAGCUAACAUGACAGGUGUUAGCAUCUAACUGUUAGCGAACUAACAUGACAGAAGUCAGCACUUAAUUCUUAGCGAGCUAACAUGACAGGUGUUAGCAUCUAACUGUUGGCGGGCUAACAUGACAGUGUUAGCACCUAAAUGUUAGCGGGCUAACAUGACAGGUGUUAGCACCUAGCUGUUAGCGAGCUAACAUGACAGGUGUUAGCACCUAACUGUUAGCGAGCUAACUUGACUGAAGUCAGCACCUAGUUCUUGACGAGCUAACAUGACAGGUGUUAGCAUCUAACUGUUAGCGGGCUAACAUGACAGGUGUUAGCACAAAACUGUUAGCGAGCUAAUCUAACAAGUGUUAGUUUGUAUAAAGACUGAAUGUUAGCUACAAAGAUGUUUUUUUCGGAGUUUUUAAGCGUGCAAAACAGCUAAAUCCGUUCGCAUGUUAGCAAUGUAAACGUCUUUGGCGUAAGACAUGCUAUAAUCUCGCGGUUUUUGGCGGCAAGCACAUCCGGCGCCACUCUAGCUUUCCGGACUAACUUGACAUGCAUGUUGUUGUAUUUUUUUUAUGGUUGUCUUCUGACACCAACCAGCGGGCGUGACUGAAGCCAAAAUGGAUAAGACAAUAAGAAAAAAAGAGAGAGAAAAAAAAAGCAAUAAUAUUAAUAACGAUAAAAAGCACAGGGCUGUUUUUCCAACUAAUCGUCAAGUCUUUGUUCAUGUACAUAUUGUCAGGUUCAAACAUGGAUGACAUCUAUUAAAACAGACAAGAAGCCAGGAAAUAAACAGAGACAGGAUUCCAUUUUGCUCAAUUUGAGGAGAAACGUGUCGACCUGUAACCUCUUACAGUGUCGCCCACGCUCUGGCGAAAAAAGGUUCCCGACUCGUCUUUUAUUUGGAUAUUCCCUGUUUCUAAAGGAAUAUGUAAACAGACAUUGUUUUUGGUCACAUUAACACAAAAGAAAAAGAUGCCACGGGCUUGGACUGGUCCUGGAUCGAGCUUGGGCAAGUCUUGGAUCACAAUAGAUAACCCCUCCCGUCUCCUCCCAUCGUACACAGCGGAAUUUUCCAAGCCUUUGACUUGGGGCAACAAAGACAGCCUCUUGUCUGUUCACUGGGAACUGAGAGAACGGGAAGUUUUUUUUAUCAUUGACAUGCAAUUUUUCGGACACAUAUUCUUAUAAUGCCACUUCUUUUUAUGGACGUGAUGUCGUCGUGAAAAAAAAUCCAACUUUGAAAUGGACACAAAAAAGCGUUGAGCGGACGCUCCAUUUUUUUCUUCUUCUUCUUGGCCUGCUGUGUCCUUUCCUCCACUUUCUCUUUUCGCCUGCUUUGUCUUUGUGGACUUCUUAUCGAUUUUUGCAUGCGUGUGAUGAUGAUGAUGACGACGAUUAAGGCACAAAGAUGAUGAAGAUGCAUAACCUGAUCUCUGUACAGUUUUUUGGGGAUGACACUUGCACUUUGUUACUUUUUUCUACAAGACGUGCAGGAAUGUUGUCAUCUUUUUUUUUUUUUUUUUUACGGACUGUGCGAAUGUGAUGUAAAUAAGGAGAAUGCUGAGGGUGACGACGUGUUUGUUUUUGCGAGAAGGCCAAAACACUUUGUAACGGGACAACAAACAUUAAAGUAUCGUUUUUAACAUUU
This is a non-coding RNA of Nerophis lumbriciformis (worm pipefish), 2340 nucleotides long. Lineage: Eukaryota; Metazoa; Chordata; Actinopteri; Syngnathiformes; Syngnathidae. The record is from RefSeq and is a predicted model, not a curated record.